This 1143-nucleotide long non-coding RNA is filed under the name Carica papaya (papaya). Its description in RNAcentral is "long non-coding RNA (CPAP_LNC016600)". Lineage: Eukaryota; Viridiplantae; Streptophyta; Magnoliopsida; Brassicales; Caricaceae. The record is from RNAcentral.
AACACAUAAGGUCUCCAUACCCCGUUCGGUAUGAGAGACCACAAUUCUGGUAGGGUUCCCUACGGACCCAGUCCGUCCACCAUCUCCCAGGAUAUCUAGUCAGGCUGACCACAUUAUACAAUUAUCAAUUUACAUAACCUUUCAUUCCCCUUUUUCUCAGUCAGCAUCAUCAAAUCACACACAAACAAGCAACCAGUAAUUCAUGCCAAACAAGCCAACAUACAACAUCGGGUUCUCAGUCAUUCAACCCAUAAUCAAUAAAACAGUAAUUUAUGCACACGAAACUAUGAAAUGAGAACAUCAGACAUCAUACUGCAUUUAAAACUGUUAAAAUAGAACAAACAACAACUGACCGACAAAUACACCAGACUCGGGCUCCAUUAGCGACCUUAAACAAUUUCACACAUCUACUGAUUCAUGAAACACCAUUUUAUCAUUUAUUGAACUUUAAUACCGUGAUAAGAAAUAGGGUGAGGGGUCCUUACUUGUUUCGGGGUCUGAAUACGGCUCUACAGUGCGCCUACAAGCUGUCCCAAAUUUUCUCUGAAUUCUUCCCAGGGAACUGAAACGCACUACUGGUACCUGCACGUGUCCCAAAAAAUUCCAAAUUAGACCCAGGGCCCCUUUCGGCCAAUAUCGUAAUUCCGGCACGGCGGCUCCGUCGUAGGCCGAAUUCGGCCACACUUGCAUCGGUCCCUGCGAUAAAACAACCCUAGGGCCCUCGGGGGGCCAAAAAAUUACAAAAAAUUGAAGCUUACCGGCGGCGGUGCUCUCGGGUGCGGCGGCUCUCCGGUGAGGUUCGUGUUUUGGUGAUUUGGCUCUGAUCAACCUGUAGAGAAAAGAAUGGUGAUCACGGUGAUAUAAAAAUUGUAUCAAACGGAGGCCGGGGAAGGCUUCGUCGGAGGAAAAAAUCGAGGAGGGGCGCGGCAGCGCCGCUGGAUUUUGGCCGUGUUUUCUGGCCGUUUGGCCGGGAUUUUGGCUAUGAUUUGGCCACUGGGGAACUCAGCGUGGAAAAACGAGCAGGGGGUAUGAAAUUUACCUCGAUCGGUGGUCGAAAAACUCCCCGGUGCGGCGGUGGGUGGCGGCGGCCGUCUCCUCCGGCGUCUGGUUCGUCUUCUCCGGUGAGGGCAGGCGGCUAGGGUU